CCUACGGGAGGCAGCAGUGGGGAAUCUUGCGCAAUGGGCGAAAGCCUGACGCAGCCAUGCCGCGUGAAUGAUGAAGGUCUUAGGAUUGUAAAAUUCUUUCACCGGGGACGAUAAUGACGGUACCCGGAGAAGAAGCCCCGGCUAACUUCGUGCCAGCAGCCGCGGUAAUACGAAGGGGGCUAGCGUUGCUCGGAAUUACUGGGCGUAAAGGGAGCGUAGGCGGAUAAUUUAGUCAGAGGUGAAAGCCCAGGGCUCAACCUUGGAAUUGCCUUUGAUACUGGCUAUCUUGAGUGUGGGAGAGGUAUGUGGAACUCCGAGUGUAGAGGUGAAAUUCGUAGAUAUUCGGAAGAACACCAGUGGCGAAGGCGACAUACUGGCCCAUUACUGACGCUGAGGCUCGAAAGCGUGGGGAGCAAACAGGAUUAGAUACCCUGGUAGUCCACGCUGUAAACGAUGAGUGCUAGUUGUCGGCAGGCAUGCCUGUCGGUGACGCAGCUAACGCAUUAAGCACUCCGCCUGGGGAGUACGGUCGCAAGAUUAAAACUUAAAUGAAUUGACGG
RNAcentral lists this ribosomal RNA (560 nucleotides) under uncultured bacterium. RNAcentral describes it as "bacterial SSU rRNA". It matches the Rfam family "Bacterial small subunit ribosomal RNA", at positions 338 to 916 of the family's 1533-position model. The record is from RNAcentral.